This 443-nucleotide ribosomal RNA is filed under the name uncultured bacterium. Its description in RNAcentral is "partial 16S ribosomal RNA". It matches the Rfam family "Bacterial small subunit ribosomal RNA", at positions 338 to 795 of the family's 1533-position model. The record is from RNAcentral.
CCUACGGGGGGCUGCAGUGGGGAAUAUUGGGCAAUGGGCGCAAGCCUGACCCAGCAACGCCGCGUGAAGGAAGAAGGCUUUCGGGUUGUAAACUUCUUUUGUCAGGGACGAAGCAAGUGACGGUACCUGACGUAUAAGCCACCGCUAACCACGUGCCAGCAGCCGCUGUAAUACGUAGGUGGCAAGCGUUAUCCGGAUUUAUUGGGUGUAAAGGGCGUGUAGGCGGGAAGGCAAGUCAGAUGUGAAAACUAUGGGCUCAACCCAUAGACUGCAUUUGAAACUGUAUUUCUUGAGUGCUGGAGAGGCAAGCGGAAUUCCUGGUGUAGCGGUGAAAUGCGUAGAUAUACGGAGGAACACCAGUGGCGAAGGCGGAUUUCUGGACAGUAACUGACGCUGAGGCACGAAAGUGUGGGGAGCGAACAGGAUUAGAUACCCUGGUAGUC